Perca flavescens (yellow perch) is the source of this 1346-nucleotide long non-coding RNA. RefSeq lists it as uncharacterized. The record is from RefSeq and is a predicted model, not a curated record. The transcript is spliced from 3 exons. NCBI's taxonomy places the organism in Eukaryota, Metazoa, Chordata, Actinopteri, Perciformes, Percidae.
GCGGCGCACCCAAACAUUUUAGCUGCUCGGUGGAUGCUUAUGUCUAUGGGUGGAUGAGAAUGAGAGCUCAGCGACCAGCUCUUGUUGGAGAGAGGAGCUCCGAGCUCUCCUGCUGCAGGAAUCGAAGAUAUCCGCAAGUCCAAGAAUGAUGUACCAGUACAGCCCAACUUGAAUAUAUUCCCAACCAUUUGGAUGGGGGGGCAGAAGACGGAGCUUCAGGCCAAACUGUCCCGCUCCCCUAGGCCAGCUGCACAACAGGGUCCAGACCUACAUCAAUAAAUAGAAUACAGUAAAAAAGGAGUAUGUUGCACUUCCCUAAAAGGCCUAAUGUCAUAAAUAAAUGAAACCAUGUGAAGUACUGUGCAGUAGUAGAAAAUGUUUGUGCUCUCUUUAUAAAGGUUGUCAGAUAUGCCUAAUUGACCGUUCCUUUAUUAUUAUUUAAAAGAGCCUGUCCACCAUCAAGAGUUCUCCAAAAGGGCCGCAAGUGAACUGAUCUCUCAUGUCAUCCAUUGAAUUCUAUGCAUAAUUUCUUCGGGGAAGUUGGGAUUUUAUUUUAUUUCUUUUCUGGAUUUGAGUGUAUGCAGAUCAGGUCAAAUUUUACCGAAAGCUUAACGCUCCUGAGUUUGGUCCUUGCCAAGGGGGGAGUUGUUCCCUGUUGCUCUUGUGCAAUAAACCACUGGCUGUAGGGUACUAGUAGUACCAAACUGCUAAAGAGGCCUGCCACUUUUUAUAUAGAUAAAGAGCCUCAAAAUACUGUAUGUAUUUAUAUAUUAAUUUUAAAUUAAAUUUUGAUUAACUAAUCAGGUGUUUUCCCUCUGGUAACAAGCACCAAAACAUGCUGCUAAAAUGAAUCCGUCGCUGUUGGUUUGGGCACAUUUGGUCUCAUUUUUACAAGGUCUACUGUAUGUAUCUGUGUAUAAAGCUUACUAUUAAAUGGCUAUUUAUAUAAAUAUAUAUUGAUGCAAUAUUAUUGAAUUUGAAAUGUGAGCAAAAGGAAAAAGUGUGAAUAUGUUUACAAACUAGUCUCACCAUGGUGUCCCUAAACUGUGCAUAUUAACACUUUAAAAUAGUUGAAGGCCCUGUAAGGGAUCUGUUCUUGUUGCACUUUGUAUAAAUCUCUGAACUUACUGAUGUUCUCAUCUUCUGUUUAUUAAUGUUUGCACUUCCUUUUUAUUUGUGGGGAAGAUUUCAGUUCUGCACGGCAUAAUGUAGCACUGUUUCUUUGUAAUAUUUGGCUUGUGUUUUUAAAUGGCCGUCACUAUGGCACAUUUCACAAAAUCCUGAGCCUGUUGUUCCUGUGCUGAGCUGAAUGAGUGAAACCUUUUAAUAAAACCCACUGAAUCAAA